UGGGGAAUAUUGCACAAUGGAGGGAACUCUGAUGCAGCGACGCCGCGUGAACGAAGAAGGCUUUCGAGUCGUAAAGUUCUUUUAUAUGGGAAGAUAAUGACGGUACCAUAAGAAAAAGCCCCGGCUAACUACGUGCCAGCAGCCGCGGUAAUACGUAGGGGGCUAGCGUUGUCCGGAAUCACUGGGCGUAAAGGGUUCGCAGGCGGAAAUGCAAGUCAGGUGUAAAAGGCAGUAGCUUAACUACUGUAAGCAUUUGAAACUGCAUAUCUUGAGAAGAGUAGAGGUAAGUGGAAUUUUUAGUGUAGCGAUGAAAUGCGUAGAUAUUAAAAAGAAUACCGGUGGCGAAGGCGACUUACUGGGCUCAUUCUGACGCUGAGGAACGAAAGCGGGGGUAGCAAACAGG
Molecule: ribosomal RNA, 403 nt
Filed under: Verrucomicrobiota bacterium
Lineage: Bacteria; Pseudomonadati; Verrucomicrobiota
Description: Verrucomicrobia bacterium partial 16S ribosomal RNA
Rfam family: Bacterial small subunit ribosomal RNA
Source: RNAcentral